GAGACUGGUUGGGUAACACCUUCCAAACCUCCCACCCUUUGUUUACAUUACCUUUGUUGCUUUGGCAGGCCCGUCUUUGGACCGCCGGCUUCGGCUGGCCAGCGCUUGCCAGAGGACCACAACUCUGUAUCAAAUGUCGUCUGAGUACUAUAAAAUAGUUAAAACUUUCAACAACGGAUCUCUUGGUUCU
RNAcentral lists this unclassified non-coding RNA (190 nucleotides) under rhizosphere metagenome. Its description in RNAcentral is "partial ribosomal RNA internal transcribed spacer region". The record is from RNAcentral.